RNAcentral lists this unclassified non-coding RNA (273 nucleotides) under Hevea brasiliensis (rubber tree). The record is from RNAcentral. Lineage: Eukaryota; Viridiplantae; Streptophyta; Magnoliopsida; Malpighiales; Euphorbiaceae.
AUGGAUGUAUGGUUUGAUUCAGGUAUUAUGAAAUACAAGAGUUAAGUUAUAAGCAUGGGUGGACCUUGUAUUCCAUGAACUAACAUGAAGGAAAUUGUGCUGCUAGAUUGAUAAUAUUUUGAUAACUUCUAUAGUUUGAUAGAAUUGUAAAUAAUUGGUUCCAUAGGACUUUUAUUGCUUUAUGAACUGUAAAAUGUCUGAGGAUACAUGUCAGAAGACUAGGUUGAUAGGUGGUUAGAUAUAUGCCAUUUCAGGUUCUUCAUGGGCUGCUGU